Long non-coding RNA from Raphanus sativus (radish), 916 nucleotides. RefSeq lists it as uncharacterized. NCBI's taxonomy places the organism in Eukaryota, Viridiplantae, Streptophyta, Magnoliopsida, Brassicales, Brassicaceae. The transcript is spliced from 2 exons. The record is from RefSeq and is a predicted model, not a curated record.
GAAACAUAGUGUUCGAAAAAAGAAAAAAAGAAGAAGAAAAUAAAGAGGAAACAACUCUGACCAAUAGGAAAGAAUGGCGAGGAUAGCUACAAUAUCAAUCUCCACCGGACCACCGCUGACCGUUGAUAGAUCUCAAUCUAACGGAUAUAAUUAUUCCUUUUUAUCAUCUCUUUCCUCUCCCUGGUUUACUGACGACGUUUCCAAUUUUGUUCGCUAUUGUCAAACUAAAUUAUCAACCUUCUCACAAUCCUCUCUAGUUUCAUCUUUUCAUCUCUCGUAUUGUCGUCCUCUGCAAUCUUCUUCUCUCUGGUGCUCCUUACCUCCUCUUCUAUGAAACCCUCUGCCUCUCUAUCUUUUUCCUUUUUCUCUGCCUAUCCCUUAUCUUCACAGAUCUCAUUUUUAGAUCUAUCCUAACCUCACUCAGACACAAAGUUCAUCUCACAGACAUCUCUCUAUCUCACGCUCCUAAUCUUUCCGUCUCACAUACGACACAUCUCCAACCAUCUUCUUCAAAAAGGCAGAGGAGAAACGCCGACAGACUCGUCUCUGGUUUGCUUCACCGGACACCACCUCCACAGAUUUAUUAACGAGCAAUGAAAGGAGAAACAGUGGUGUGACAUAGCAGCGUCUACGGUCAAGCGUGGUGCGGCGGUUGUGCAAGCCGGUGGUGGGGUGGUGGUCGUGCGGUGGUUGUCGUGGGGUGGAGAUGCGAGCAUCAUGGUCGGCCGAGACUGAAGAAGAAUGUAGUUUGGUGUAUUAGGUUUAGUUAGGGUUAAUUAGUUAACCAAUUUGUAAUUGCAAACCAAUUUGUAAUUGCAAACCAAUUUGUAUUGUAAACCAUUUUGAAAUUUUAAACCAAUGAAAUUGUAAACCAUGUAAACCAAAAUUCAAUUUAUAAAAAUACCAAUUUAUUAUU